Molecule: unclassified non-coding RNA, 160 nt
Filed under: uncultured Penicillium
Lineage: Eukaryota; Fungi; Ascomycota; Eurotiomycetes; Eurotiales; Aspergillaceae
Description: sequence contains ITS2
Source: RNAcentral
CUGCCCUCAAGCACGGCUUGUGUGUUGGGCUCCGUCCUCCUUCCGGGGGACGGGCCCGAAAGGCAGCGGCGGCACCGCGUCCGGUCCUCGAGCGUAUGGGGCUUCGUCACCCGCUCUGUAGGCCCGGCCGGCGCUUGCCGACACAUCAAUCUUUUUUCCA